CUUCUCUCAAAACCAUUCUCCAUCAAAACAGAUCUCUGCCAACUUCUUUCUCCAAGAUGAAAGAGGGCCGAGAUUGAGGUACAGGAAAAUAGAACCAUGGUGUGCCUAGGAGACUGAAUGAACUACAUCAGUGAUCAGUCUGGGAAUUAAAAGCCAUGGGAAUUCUGGCAGAGUUCUAGAAUGGAGGGAGCAGAGCUGCAACAGAGCUGAAGAGAAGAGGACUUUGAUGAAGAAAAGUUAUUACAGCUUUCAAGACUACAGCCAAAGAGUCAAUCGCAAGAGGUAA
RNAcentral lists this long non-coding RNA (286 nucleotides) under Monodelphis domestica (gray short-tailed opossum). Its description in RNAcentral is "lncRNA (ENSMODG00000048108.1)". Lineage: Eukaryota; Metazoa; Chordata; Mammalia; Didelphimorphia; Didelphidae. The record is from RNAcentral.